UCGCAGAGUUUUAGAAAACAACAAACAUGAAAUUUGUAUCUUUUGUAUUUGCUUUGGUCCUUGUAGCCAUUCAACUUUCAAGCAUUUCCGCUCAAGAAGCCGAACUAGAUAUGUGUAAUAAAAUUUCUUGCCCUAUGAUAUAUACACCAUUCUGUGGAAUAAACAACGCUGAUCCUACAGACCAAAGAAUAUUCGGAAAUGAAUGUGAUAUGAGAUCUGUAAAUGCUUGUCGUCCAAAGGAUAAACAAUAUCGAGCAUGCAAUUAAAGAGGAUAUUAAAAAAGACAUUUUGUUUGGUUUGGUGAAACAAAUUCCAAGUUAUUAUAAAAUGAGUUUAAAAGUGAAAUAAUAAAGGGAAAAUAAAAUUUGGCAUCUUAACAAACAAAA
This is a long non-coding RNA of Eupeodes corollae, 386 nucleotides long. RefSeq lists it as uncharacterized. Lineage: Eukaryota; Metazoa; Arthropoda; Insecta; Diptera; Syrphidae. The transcript is spliced from 2 exons. The record is from RefSeq and is a predicted model, not a curated record.